This 531-nucleotide ribosomal RNA is filed under the name uncultured bacterium. RNAcentral's name for it is "partial 16S ribosomal RNA". It matches the Rfam family "Bacterial small subunit ribosomal RNA", at positions 355 to 881 of the family's 1533-position model. The record is from RNAcentral.
UGGGGAAUUUUGGACAAUGGGCGCAAGCCUGAUCCAGCCAUGCCGCGUGCGGGAAGAAGGCCUUCGGGUUGUAAACCGCUUUUGUCAGGGAAGAAAUCUUCUGAGUUAAUACCUCGGGAGGAUGACGGUACCUGAAGAAUAAGCACCGGCUAACUACGUGCCAGCAGCCGCGGUAAUACGUAGGGUGCAAGCGUUAAUCGGAAUUACUGGGCGUAAAGCGUGCGCAGGCGGUUUUGUAAGACAGAGGUGAAAUCCCCGGGCUCAACCUGGGAACUGCCUUUGUGACUGCAAGGCUUGAGUGCGGCAGAGGAGGAUGGAAUUCCGCGUGUAGCAGUGAAAUGCGUAGAUAUGCGGAGGAACACCGAUGGCGAAGGCAAUCCCCUGGGCCUGCACUGACGCUCAUGCACGAAAGCGUGGGGAGCAAACAGGAUUAGAUACCCUGGUAGUCCACGCCCUAAACGAUGUCAACUGGUUGUUGGGAAGGUUCCUUCUCAGUACGUAGCUAACGCGUAAGUUGACCGCCUGGGGAGU